GAGUGACAACCGAGUGCGCUGUCAAACUUGUGCUAAUUAAUUGUGACGAUUUCAUUUUGCCAACAACAGACGUUAAGCGAAAACAAAGGCGACAAAUGGAAAUUCUGAAAAUAUUGGGGAGUUGGGAGCUUCCAACUAAGUGAGCCCUAUUAAAUGCGACAACAUCAUCAUCAACAACAACAACAACAGCAGUAGCAGCACGACAG
RNAcentral lists this small RNA (206 nucleotides) under Drosophila mojavensis. Its description in RNAcentral is "GI26117". The record is from RNAcentral. Lineage: Eukaryota; Metazoa; Arthropoda; Insecta; Diptera; Drosophilidae.